AUCCUUUUAUAGUUCACAUAAUUGUGAUAAUUAGGUUUAUACACUCAUAUGUGAGAUGUGUCUCCCUCAAACCUUGUUAGACCUUGGCACAUUGCUCAUCUAAUG
Molecule: small nucleolar RNA, 105 nt
Organism: Nycticebus coucang (slow loris)
Lineage: Eukaryota; Metazoa; Chordata; Mammalia; Primates; Lorisidae
Product: small nucleolar RNA U13
Exons: 1
Source: RefSeq, a predicted model, not a curated record